This 547-nucleotide ribosomal RNA is filed under the name Salmonella enterica subsp. enterica serovar Eastbourne. RNAcentral describes it as "partial 23S ribosomal RNA". It matches the Rfam family "Bacterial large subunit ribosomal RNA", at positions 983 to 1533 of the family's 2925-position model. Lineage: Bacteria; Pseudomonadati; Pseudomonadota; Gammaproteobacteria; Enterobacterales; Enterobacteriaceae. The record is from RNAcentral.
GACACACGGCGGGUGCUAACGUUCGUCGUGAAGAGGGAAACAACCCAGACCGCCGGCUAAGGUCCCAAAGUCAUAAUUAAGUGGGAAACGAAGUGGGAAGGCUCAGACAGCCAGGAUGUUGGCUUAGAAGCAGCCAUCAUUUAAAGAAAGCGUAAUAGCUCACUGGUCGAGUCGGCCUGCGCGGAAGAUGUAACGGGGCUAAAUUAUGCACCGAAGCCGCGGCAGCGAUAUGUAAAUAUUGUUGGGUAGGGGAGCGUUCUGUAAGCCUGUGAAGGUGACCUGUGAGGGUUGCUGGAGGUAUCAGAAGUGCGAAUGCUGACAUAAGUAACGAUAAUGCGGGUGAAAAACCCGCACGCCGGAAGACCAAGGGUUCCUGUCCAACGUUAAUCGGGGCAGGGUGAGUCGACCCCUAAGGCGAGGCUGAAAAGCGUAGUCGAUGGGCAACGGGUUAAUAUUCCCGUACUGGUGGUAACUGCGAAGGGGGGACGGAGAAAGCUAAAUCAUCCGGGCGACGGUUGUCCCGGUUUAAGCGUGCAGGUGGACUGAC